This 257-nucleotide ribosomal RNA is filed under the name uncultured bacterium. RNAcentral's name for it is "partial 16S ribosomal RNA". It matches the Rfam family "Bacterial small subunit ribosomal RNA", at positions 525 to 779 of the family's 1533-position model. The record is from RNAcentral.
CAGAGGGGUGCAAGCGUUAAUCGGAAUUACUGGGCGUAAAGCGCGCGUAGGUGGUUUGUUAAGUUGAAUGUGAAAGCCCCGGGGCUCAACCUGGGAACUGCAUCCAAAACUGGCAAGCUAGAGUACGGUAGAGGGUGGUGGAAUUUCCUGUGUAGCGGUGAAAUGCGUAGAUAUAGGAAGGAACACCAGUGGCGAAGGCGACCACCUGGACUGAUACUGACACUGAGGUGCGAAAGCGUGGGGGAGCAAACAGGAUU